This 460-nucleotide ribosomal RNA is filed under the name uncultured bacterium. RNAcentral's name for it is "partial 16S ribosomal RNA". It matches the Rfam family "Bacterial small subunit ribosomal RNA", at positions 28 to 507 of the family's 1533-position model. The record is from RNAcentral.
GACGAACGCUGGCGGCGUGCUUAACACAUGCAAGUCGAGCGGUAAGGCCUCUUCGGGGGUACACGAGCGGCGAACGGGUGAGUAACACGUGGGUGACCUGCCCUCAGCUCUGGGAUAAGCCUGUGAAACUGGGUCUAAUACCGGAUAUGACCUUUCCUCGCAUGGGGUUUGGUGGAAAGUUUUUUCGGCUGGGGAUGGGCCCGCGGCCUAUCAGCUUGUUGGUGGGGUGAUGGCCUACCAAGGCGACGACGGGUAGCCGGCCUGAGAGGGCGACCGGCCACACUGGGACUGAGACACGGCACAGACUCCUACGGGAGGCAGCAGUGGGGAAUAUUGCGCAAUGGGCGGAAGCCUGACGCAGCGACGCCGCGUGGGGGAUGACGGCCUUCGGGUUGUAAACCUCUUUCGACCCCGACGAAUUUGGACGGUAGGGAUAGAAGAAGCACCGGCCAACUACGUG